UGGCAUAACUUACACACUGUUCUACUAUC
Molecule: non-coding RNA, 29 nt
Filed under: Mus musculus (house mouse)
Lineage: Eukaryota; Metazoa; Chordata; Mammalia; Rodentia; Muridae
Source: RNAcentral